GUAUUCACUUGACUGCACUUAUAUAAAGCUAGAAGACUACACAGAAGAUUUACAGGGCCCCUGAACAAUGCUGACACACAAAUACAUGGGAUUGUCCACAUUUUU
Small nuclear RNA from Meriones unguiculatus (Mongolian gerbil), 105 nucleotides. NCBI's taxonomy places the organism in Eukaryota, Metazoa, Chordata, Mammalia, Rodentia, Muridae. The record is from Ensembl.